UUCAAAGGGCCAAAGGAGAAAAAGCCUCCAGUAAAAAGCACAAGGGAAUUUAUUUAUUUUGUCUAGUUGACUGGUCUUUCAGAAAUAAUAAAGAAUCCGUUUCAGAACUGACCAGUAGAUGUCAGUGUUUGACAAGCACAUAGCUGCUUGCUGAGGCUCCCGUAUUAGCAUCUGGCUCCAUUUCAGCUAGCAAGUUUCUCUGCAAAGGAGAGGGAGUUUGUGUAACUGAAGCAAAGAUUUUGCUUUCUCACUUCUCGCCCUGUCUUGCGGAAAACAGCAUGAUGCUCUGGAAUCUUCAGAAGAGAGCAAAUGAGUAAAGAUGUAAGGAAAUGAGGCAAAGCAAUGGAAAAACAGCCUUGAGCAAGGCUGCUACAAACACCAGCGCACCGCCAUGAUUGGGUUGCUCAGUGUUCUGGGUAACCCCUUCAUAGGAUUUCAAUUUCACACAAGUAAGUGUGGGCCAGCCUCAUCCAAUCAGUUCAACGUCUUAUUAGCAGAAGCAGAGGUUUCCUCAAGAGGAAGGCAUUCAGCUUCAAGACUGUGACACAGAAAUUCUGCAUGCCUUCCCUGUAGAUUUUGGACCUGCCAGCCUCCACAGUUAUGUGAGCCAAUUCCUUAAA
RNAcentral lists this long non-coding RNA (620 nucleotides) under Papio anubis (olive baboon). Its description in RNAcentral is "lncRNA (ENSPANG00000040900.1)". The record is from RNAcentral. Lineage: Eukaryota; Metazoa; Chordata; Mammalia; Primates; Cercopithecidae.